This 4584-nucleotide long non-coding RNA is filed under the name Sus scrofa (pig). Its description in RNAcentral is "lncRNA (ENSSSCG00000052291.1)". The record is from RNAcentral. Lineage: Eukaryota; Metazoa; Chordata; Mammalia; Artiodactyla; Suidae.
UAAUGUGCUUGGUAAUUAGCACUAUUGUACUCAUGGAUGGUUAUGAUCAUACAUGUUUUCCAAUCCUUAAUAUGCAUUUUCCCACUUUUGUUUUAUUAAUGAAAUGAGCAGCUUCAUGGGGAUUCCCAGCACAAGGGCUUACUAUUGAGGCAGAGGUAUUGGGUAAAUACCCUUUCAGCAGUCCUCACAUAACACUCCAUAAGCUCCCUCUGAAUCAUGAGGCUGUCUCUCCAAGGGUACAGUUGACAGUAAUGGACAGAAGGCUGCCUGCACCUGCCAGCACUCCAAAGACGAUCAAGAAUUACUACAAGAACCAUCAGAGCUCCAUUUCUUAUCACUCAUUCUAAAUUUUGGAGUGGCAACUAGAUGUUUUUACACACACACACACACAAUGCUAGAGUCCUUGCUAGGGCACUCUAUGAAAGAAUUAUGAAAGCGUCAGAGGGCAUUUAUAAUGCAAAUAUUUCCCUCUACAUAAAUCUUCAAUUUUUCCUUCUGUUAAAUACCACACUGCACUUUAUGCAUCUAUGGACUUGACUUUGAGGGUAAAAGCCUGAAUCAGAGUAACUUUUUGUUUUAUAAUAAUAUUGUGCAUAUCAGAAGUUUAUGAUAUAACAAUUGAAAGAAACUAUAUCCAAGUGGAUAAGCAGAAAACCUGGAUUUCUUUUUCAACUGUCAUACAUUUCCUUAUAAUAAAAUUUGGGAACAAUAUUUUUUUAGGAUCAGAAAACUAUAGAGAAGGCAAAGAAAGAAAGAAACUAAACAGAAAAAAUUUUUAAAAAGAGAAUUAAUCUUUUAUCAAUGUCCCGCUUUGCUCCCUCUAUUGAGUUUGAUAUUUGGAAAUUUGUAAAAGUUUUGACAUUAUGUAUACGAGUGUUUUUCCACAUGAUGCGGGCAUUUUUACUGAGUCCACUUGGCAUCUUUAAGCAUCAGUACUUGUGAGUGCCAAGUGCCGGUGUGAUUAGUUAAACAUGCGAUCUGGAUGGUUUGGUUGAAUAGCUAUGGGGCUUUUCAUUAUAAAAUUCUGGUCAGGGAUUGGUUUCAAAAGAAACCAUGUACUUUGUUGGAUUUUUUAAAUAAAGAGUUACAGUAAAUAUUUUGGAAAGCAAAAUAGGGAAAGGGCAUAUGAAACAUUUCUGUAUGGACCAGAAAAAGAUUCAGAACCUAGGGCAGAGUUUAAAAAGUCAAGUAUCUAAAUAUCUUACCAAGAGCAGCUGUAAUGUGUAGUGGAUUUUGGACUAAUAAUGGGAGCUUAUUUGGUAUUCUUUUUCCUUGUAAGAUGGGAAUUUUUUUUUUUAUUCCACUCUUACCAAAGGCAAAGUGUCCUGGCUAACAAGGAUUAUUUUGUGAAUUGAAUGAAUAAUGAGAUUAACCUUUAUGAACCUCCAGUGAACUGCAAACGAUGGCUACAAACCAUAGUCACAUCUCUUCUGCUAUAGAAAAAAAUCUUCUCCCAUUAUUUACACAUAUACUUGAGGCAUUUCUCCAUUCUAUUUUCACCUUUUUUUUUUUUUUUUUUGCAUCCUUUUCUUACUUAUAAUAACCACCUCUUCCAUCCAAGGGACAUUUAAAUAAAAGCACAAGGUAAGUUAUCUGUAUUUGAAAAGAGACAUCAAAACACUAACUUUGUAAAGCACAGGGGAGAAAACUGUUUCCCAUUUUUUCCCAAAACAAAGGAAGUAAGAAAUUCUUUCGUGGUUUUUAUUUGUUUUUCAAAUCACAUUGUCCUCAACUUUUAAAAUAAUAAUCUUCCUUGACAGCCAUUUAAUAAUUGUGAGUGAUCUAUGACUUUAUUAUAAAGUACUCAUCUCAUCUAAUGAUCUAUUUCCUUUACCCCAGGGGCCAAGUACAAAGCUAAGGAAUUAUCUUGGUGAUACUUUUAAUAACUUCCUGUGGGAUUGCAAACCCCAACUGAAGCCAGCUCUGCAAAGGAGUUAAUCAUGUAAUUUCACAGAUUAGACACCACAGGGUUACUAAUGAGAAACUUCAGUUUAGUGAUAAACUAUUUUUUUUUCCAGGAAUAUUUUGAGAGGCCUGUAACCUUUGGCUGACACCCAGCAAGGCUAUUAGUUUAACCAUGCGAUGCAAUACUAAAUGCACAAGAGUCAGCAGAACUUCUUUUCUGGAAAGUUGAUUAUAAGAAUAGUUUUGUUAAGAGACUCCAGAAACAGAUGGAAUGGACAAAAAAAGGUGGGGGGGAGACAAGCAUUAAAAAAAACCUUACCAACUUCCAUUGGUUGGCAUAACUUUAGCUUCUAGUGUCUUUUCAACCAUAUGCACAAGAUGGAAACUGCAGUUCACAUUUAAAUGUCAUGCUGCCCUCUGUUCCAUAAACAUGUAUCAUCCAUCACUAAAUAUUUAGAUCUCAAUUGUUGGAGCUGAGUUCUGUGCCAGGGGUACAGGGAUGAAUUCCUUUCAAGGUCCUCACAUGAUGGAUUUUACACUGGGGUAAACAUCCGAGAAGAGCUCACACUAAAGCCAUAAGAUAUAUAAAUAAAGUUUAAAGUUUAAUUAAGUCAACAUUAUUUAAAGUGGUUGUCAUAUUUUAUGGCGAACUUUUCAUGUUUAUUAUGUAUGACUCCUAAUAAAUAGCCCCUCCUGAUCAGACAAAAAACACAGCUAGGUUAAAGGCAAGGGCUCCAAACUUAGGACUGGAAGGAAGGAAUUUCUGAGUUUGGGGAUAGCGCAACCUUUUCACAUUAUACUUUUGCUUCAAAAACUAACCUGUUAUCUCAACACUGACUCAGUAUCUUGUUCAGACAGAACGUUUGAAAAUGCUUUAAGGCUUUAUCCACUGGACCGUUGGGAGACAAUAUACUCACAUACUUAGGAGCACAGACUGGCAAAUAGAGAAGAAAAAUGCAUGUAAUAGAACAACUUAACAUUUGAUAUUUUAAUCUUAUAAUAAUAGAAAGUAUAAGAAAAAAAUAACUGAUUCAAAGCAUGUUCACAAUAGCUUGUUAGCUUCUUAGAAUAAAUUUUCUGAAAAGGUAAAUUUUUUUGAUGUUAACAUUUUGAAGGGGGCUAAAAUCUUUUAUUAUUUUUUUCUUUCUCAAUUUUUUAAAAAAUUAGCAACAAAGCUUUCUUCAAAGAAAAUUCCAGAUGCCCAGUGUGUAAAGCAGCUGUGACUCAUCUUCUCCACAGUAUAAUGACCCCCAAGGAACACCUGAGAAAUCACUAAGGCUUUGCAGAAUACAGGAUGAAAAGCAAAAUAAGAAAUUCAAACUGUAAAUCUUGCCAUAAAAAGAUAGCUGUGCUAUUGAAACUGGUACAGCCACCACACUAGGGCUUCAAAACCAUGUUGCAAAAUUUAUGAAAGCCCACAUUUGGUGAGAAAAUAGAUUUAUAUGUACCUUCUAAAAUAAAAUUUUUCAGAUCACAUUUUUUAUAUAAGGCAAAGUCAAAUUUAAUUGAAGCUAUUUCUUCAGAGCAUGCUUUUUUCCCCUCUUUUUUUUAUUCAAAUAUAGUUGAUUUACAAUGUUUCUUCAAUUUCUGCUGUUCAGCAAUAAAAGGUAAAUUUUUGAAAUGAACAUAAACCCACCCUCCCCCCAUAAAUCAAUACUCUAGAGCAGCAAAUUUUUUUCCUUAGUAUUAAAUAAUGAAACUGAUAAUCAUAUACUUUCAUAUUUGAUGGAUAUAGUAUUUAAGCAGAAAGAGGAAGUGAAGGACAGAGACCAGCUAAAGCAAAUUCCUUACUUCCAAGAGCUUAAGUACAGUUGCCACUCUGUACAGACUUUCUUUUUUUUAAGCAAAAUCUCCCUUAAUGUGAGUGAGAGUCCUAUUUCUUCAAACAGGAAAAAACAAAACAAAUCAACAGCAACAACAAACCCCACAACUCUAACUAAAGGGAUAUUUAAAACUGUAAGGAAAAUUUUGGAUUUGGAAUAAACCUUAGCACUCCUGUCCGACCCUGAUGUUCUCUGAGAAGAAAACCAAAGCUGAGAGGAGUGAAUCAUCCCAGUUCACAGAGCUAAAUGAUAGCAAAGUUGGUCUAGAACAAUGCAUCUUCCAUUGUCUUCUAUUCAGAAUGCUGAUUUAAUAAUGUAGGUAUCUGCCGAGGAAGUGCAAAGGUGGCUAUAACUGACGGUCUUUCAGAAGAUGAAGAUUGUAAUAAAACCUUCUGUGGUUCUUGUGUUGCCUAUUUUCAGAAACUUGGUGAUUCGACACAAAGUACUAAUCACUGAGCUUCCAUUUCUUAGUGUGUAAAAUGCAGCUACUGUGAAAAUGAGAUACUAUUUGUCAAUUGCAUUCUGCAUAUACAUAGUAAACACCCAUCAGUGGUAUCAGUUAUCACUGGCUUCAUGUCCAUAUUUUAGAAGCUACCUAUCAAAGGCAAAGCAUCUUUCCAAAAUACCAAAUUAGGAGCUUCCAUUGUGGUUUAGCAGGUUAAGGACCUGACGUAGUCUCCGUGAGCAUGUGGGUUUGAUCCCUGGCCUUGCUCAGUGGGUUAAGGAUCUGGUGUUGCCACAAGUUGUGGCAUAGAUUGAGAAUUCAGCUCAGAUCUGGUGUUGCUGUAGGUGUGGCGUUAGCCUCAGCUGUAGCUCUGAUGAGACCCCUAGCCUAGGAACUUCCAUAUACUGCAGG